ACAGCUCUGAAUAGGGUCUGAAAUGCACGGCCCCUCAGCGAUCCUGGAUGCUAAGCAAAAUCAGGCCUGUUUAGUAUGACUUGGGUGGGAGACCACCUAGGAAUAUGAGCUGCUGUA
RNAcentral lists this ribosomal RNA (117 nucleotides) under Salvator merianae (Argentine black and white tegu). The record is from RNAcentral. Lineage: Eukaryota; Metazoa; Chordata; Lepidosauria; Squamata; Teiidae.